GAUGAAGAACGUAGCGAAAUGCGAUACUUGGUGUGAAUUGCAGAAUCCCGUGAACCAUCGAGUCUUUGAACGCAAGUUGCGCCCGAAGCCAUCAGGUUGAGGGCACGUCUGCCUGGGCGUCACAUAUCGUUGCCCAAUGCCUAUUGCAGUGCAAUAGGAAUUUCUAGGGCGAAUGAUGGAUUCCCGUGAGCGUUGUUGCCUCGCGGUUGGUUGAAAAUCGAGUCCUUGGUAGGGUGUGCCAUGGUAGAUGGUGGUCGAGUUAGAACGAUACCGAUCAUGUGCAUGCUCCCCAAAAUAUGGCCUCUAUGACCCACACGCGUCUUUUGACGCUCAUGACGAGACCUCAGGUCAGGCGGGGCUACCCGCUGAAUUUAAGCAUAUCAAUAAGCGGAGGA
This 395-nucleotide unclassified non-coding RNA is filed under the name soil metagenome. RNAcentral describes it as "partial contains 5.8S ribosomal RNA, internal transcribed spacer 2, and large subunit ribosomal RNA". The stretch from base 1 to 122 matches the Rfam family "5.8S ribosomal RNA", at positions 35 to 154 of the family's 154-position model. The record is from RNAcentral.